RNAcentral lists this ribosomal RNA (416 nucleotides) under Micrococcus sp. oral taxon F54. RNAcentral's name for it is "bacterial SSU rRNA". It matches the Rfam family "Bacterial small subunit ribosomal RNA", at positions 28 to 444 of the family's 1533-position model. The record is from RNAcentral. Lineage: Bacteria; Bacillati; Actinomycetota; Actinomycetes; Micrococcales; Micrococcaceae.
GAUGAACGCUGGCGGCGUGCUUAACACAUGCAAGUCGAACGAUAAAGCCCAGCUUGCUGGGUGGAUUAGUGGCGAACGGGUGAGUAACACGUGAGUAACCUGCCCUUGACUCUGGGAUAAGCCCGGGAAACUGGGUCUAAUACCGGAUAGGAGCGCCUGUCGCAUGACGGGUGUUGGAAAGAUUUUUCGGUCAUGGAUGGACUCGCGGCCUAUCAGCUUGUUGGUGAGGUAAUGGCUCACCAAGGCGACGACGGGUAGCCGGCCUGAGAGGGUGACCGGCCACACUGGGACUGAGACACGGCCCAGACUCCUACGGGAGGCAGCAGUGGGGAAUAUUGCACAAUGGGCGGAAGCCUGAUGCAGCGACGCCGCGUGAGGGAUGACGGCCUUCGGGUUGUAAACCUCUUUCAGUAGGG